ACACACAAACACAAACACACACUGUUUCUCUUACACACAAACAAACACAAUGCAUCUCUUACAAACACUCAAUGCACCCCUUACAGACACACACACACACUGCAUUCCUUACAUACACAGAAACACACCUUGCAUCCCUUACGCAUGCAAACACAGAUUCACACAAUGCAUCCCUUACACACAACCAGAAACACACAAUACAUCCCUUACACACAAACACACACUGCUUU
Molecule: non-coding RNA, 230 nt
Organism: Pelobates cultripes (western spadefoot toad)
Lineage: Eukaryota; Metazoa; Chordata; Amphibia; Anura; Pelobatidae
Source: the annotation of a GenBank genome assembly